GAACCAUCCAAGACUUAGUCACUGUGGGUUCCCCCUCCCUGGAUGGAUUCAAGACCAGGCUGGGCAGGGCUGUGAGCAACCUGCUCUACUGCGAGGUGUCCCUGAACCGCGUGAUCUCUAAGAUCCCUUUCAGUACAAAUCAUUCUAUGGUCUCACACAGAGAUAGUGGAUGUGUGUAGUACUUUGAGGAAAAAAGAGCACUUUUGGCUUGUCAUUUCUCAAUGUGCUUAGAGACUGCAGCUCUCUUCAGCUGGUGGCCCAGCGCAGGGGCAGGCAUUCAGCAGUGCCUUCAGGGGCUGCAAUGGCACUGCGGGCAAAGGCAUUCUAUGCGUUCCCAAAGGUGUUCAUUUUUUCUGAUGCUUUUUUUUUUUUUAUAGAGGUUGUCCUCAGUGUUCUGAAGAGCUCUAAACCUCUUGUGGCCAAUAUAUCAGCAGAGUUGGAGGCAGAUCCAGAAGGAUGAAAAAGCAAUGGCCUUCUGCUAUCAUCAGAAUGUAUGAGAUCUGCUCCAGCGAGCGGCUGGGUGGGCACGUGUGCCUGCUGGCUUACCCACUGCAGGGGUCUCACGUAGGCUGCUCCCUUACGGUCAGCUUCUGUGGUAACACCUCCACUCGUCCUGCAGCACCUCAUCUGCUGCAGGGUGCCUCCGUUGGCCAUGAGUCAUGACUGGUGAGUCAUCACUGAUGGGUUGACCCAUCAUGUGAUAGG
Molecule: long non-coding RNA, 705 nt
Filed under: Gallus gallus (chicken)
Lineage: Eukaryota; Metazoa; Chordata; Aves; Galliformes; Phasianidae
Description: long non-coding RNA NONGGAT009446
Source: RNAcentral